RNAcentral lists this ribosomal RNA (319 nucleotides) under uncultured Treponema sp. RNAcentral describes it as "bacterial SSU rRNA". It matches the Rfam family "Bacterial small subunit ribosomal RNA", at positions 29 to 339 of the family's 1533-position model. The record is from RNAcentral. Lineage: Bacteria; Pseudomonadati; Spirochaetota; Spirochaetia; Treponematales; Treponemataceae.
AACGAACGCUGGCGGCGCGUCUUAAGCAUGCAAGUCGAGCGGUAAGAUUGGUGCUUGCACUGAUCCUAGAGCGGCGGACUGGUGAGUAACGCGUGGGUGACGUACCUCUGUGACGGGGACAGCUCCUAGAAAUAGGAGAUAAUACCGGAUACGCUGUGUGCUGUCAGAGGGCACACAGGAAAGGAUCUUUUGAUCCGCACAGAGAGCGGCCCGCGUACUAUUAGCUAGUUGGUGAGGUAACGGCCCACCAAGGCGACGAUAGUUACCCGGCCUAAGAGGGUGAUCGGGCACAUUGGGACUGAGAUACGGCCCAGACUCC